Molecule: non-coding RNA, 124 nt
Organism: Ceratotherium simum simum (southern white rhinoceros)
Lineage: Eukaryota; Metazoa; Chordata; Mammalia; Perissodactyla; Rhinocerotidae
Source: RefSeq, a predicted model, not a curated record
CCAUUUGCUUAUUGUUUCUUUUGUUUCCCUUGCCUGGGUAAACAUGAUAUUCAAAUAGAUACUGCUAAGACAGAUUGAAGACUGUACUGCCUAUAUUUUCUUCUAGGAGUUUUAUGGUUUCAGG